RNAcentral lists this ribosomal RNA (600 nucleotides) under uncultured bacterium. Its description in RNAcentral is "bacterial SSU rRNA". It matches the Rfam family "Bacterial small subunit ribosomal RNA", at positions 8 to 612 of the family's 1533-position model. The record is from RNAcentral.
AGAGUUUGAUCAUGGCUCAGGACGAACGCUGGCGGCGUGCUUAACACAUGCAAGUCGAACGAUGAACUCCAGCUUGCUGGGGGGAUUAGUGGCGAACGGGUGAGUAACACGUGAGUAACCUGCCCUGGACUCUGGGAUAACCCCGAGAAAUCGGAGCUAAUACCGGAUAGGACCUGGAACCGCAUGGUUUUGGGUGGAAAGUUUUUCGGUCUGGGAUGGACUCGCGGCCUAUCAGCUUGUUGGUGAGGUAAUGGCUCACCAAGGCGUCGACGGGUAGCCGGCCUGAGAGGGUGACCGGCCACACUGGGACUGAGACACGGCCCAGACUCCUACGGGAGGCAGCAGUGGGGAAUAUUGCACAAUGGGCGCAAGCCUGAUGCAGCAACGCCGCGUGCGGGAUGACGGCCUUCGGGUUGUAAACCGCUCUUAGUAAGGAAGAAGGGAAGCGCAAGCUUUUUGACGGUACUUGCAGAAAAAGGACCGGCUAACUACGUGCCAGCAGCCGCGGUAAUACGUAGGGUCCGAGCGUUGUCCGGAAUUACUGGGCGUAAAGGGCGCGUAGGUGGCCUGUUAAGUCGAACGUGAAAUCCCCGGGCUCAA